UGGGGAAUAUUGCACAAUGGGCGCAAGCCUGAUGCAGCCAUGCCGCGUGUGUGAAGAAGGCCUUCGGGUUGUAAAGCACUUUCAGCGAGGAGGAAGGUGGUGAGCUUAAUACGCUCAUCAAUUGACGUUACUCGCAGAAGAAGCACCGGCUAACUCCGUGCCAGCAGCCGCGGUAAUACGGAGGGUGCAAGCGUUAAUCGGAAUUACUGGGCGUAAAGCGCACGCAGGCGGUUUGUUAAGUCAGAUGUGAAAUCCCCGGGCUCAACCUGGGAACUGCAUUUGAAACUGGCAAGCUAGAGUCUCGUAGAGGGGGGUAGAAUUCCAGGUGUAGCGGUGAAAUGCGUAGAGAUCUGGAGGAAUACCGGUGGCGAAGGCGGCCCCCCUGGACGAAGACUGACGCUCAGGUGCGAAAGCGUGGGGCAGCAAACAGGAUUAGAUACCCUGGUAGUCCAGCGCUGUAAACGAUGUCGAUUUGGAGGUUGUGCCCUUGAGGCGUGGCUUCCGGAGCUAACGCGUUAAAUCGACCGCCUGGGGAGUACGGCCGCAAGGUUAAAACUUAAAGGAAUUGACGGGGUCUAGCUG
RNAcentral lists this ribosomal RNA (582 nucleotides) under uncultured bacterium. Its description in RNAcentral is "partial 16S ribosomal RNA". It matches the Rfam family "Bacterial small subunit ribosomal RNA", at positions 355 to 926 of the family's 1533-position model. The record is from RNAcentral.